RNAcentral lists this ribosomal RNA (400 nucleotides) under uncultured bacterium. Its description in RNAcentral is "bacterial SSU rRNA". It matches the Rfam family "Bacterial small subunit ribosomal RNA", at positions 354 to 771 of the family's 1533-position model. The record is from RNAcentral.
GUGGGGAAUAUUGGACAAUGGGCGCAAGCCUGAUCCAGCCAUGCCGCGUGAGUGAUGAAGGCCCUAGGGUUGUAAAGCUCUUUCACCGGUGAAGAUAAUGACGGUAACCGGAGAAGAAGCCCCGGCUAACUUCGUGCCAGCAGCCGCGGUAAUACGAAGGGGGCUAGCGUUGUUCGGAAUUACUGGGCGUAAAGCGCACGUAGGCGGACAUUUAAGUCAGGGGUGAAAUCCCAGAGCUCAACUCUGGAACUGCCUUUGAUACUGGGUGUCUAGAGUAUGGAAGAGGUGAGUGGAAUUCCGAGUGUAGAGGUGAAAUUCGUAGAUAUUCGGAGGAACACCAGUGGCGAAGGCGGCUCACUGGUCCAUUACUGACGCUGAGGUGCGAAAGCGUGGGGAGCAA